CCGGCCUCAGCCACCGCCUCGGGGCCGGCUGCAGGCGGGGGACAGCGCCGGGAAGCCCCCGCGGGCGGCACCACGGGCACAGGUGCAGGGCGGCGGGCACCCAACGGCCGCGCCCCACCCGGUCCCCGGGCACGGCGCAGGGGGCGUCCGCAGCCCCCCGGCCCUCACCUGCUCUCCGCAGCCCGACGAGCGCUUCUCCCUCGGACCAGCCGGCGGGGCGCGGAGGGAAGGAGGAGGCGGCGGCGAAGCGAGCUGGGAGGCGGCUGAAGAGCGGCGCCUUCCCCCCCGCCGCCGGCGACCACCCGGCUGCGAUCGCGGGAGCGGCCGCGGCAAGCGGCUCGGGCGCCUUUGUUACGCCUCCCCCGGCUGCAGAGCGCUGCUGGGGAGGGAGCCCGGGCUGCAGCUGCUUCGCCUUUCUUCGGCUGCUGCCGCUGGCGGUGAUUUGCAUUAGCCCGGCCCUCAUUGACAUGCGGCUCUCCGCAGCAGCCUCUCCCCGCCGCUCUCUCCAGAGGGCGGCGCCGCCGUCUCCCCCUCUCCCCCCGUCUCCCCUCGCCGGGCGCUGCGGGGCGACUGCCUCAGCACUGCCCGCGGCUGCCCUCAGGCCCUGUCUGCCCGCCCGCCGCCUCCCUCACCCGUCCGGCCGCUGGCGAGGCCCUGGCCCGGAGUCCGAGGACGCCUGUUCUCAAAAGCCGAGCACCACCACAUUGACUGUUUCACCAGGGUCCUCUGUGGUGCAUGUUUAUAAACCACAAGACAGUCACUUCUUAACCUUCCUUUGGAUAAAGUUAGCAAAGUUCAACUUCACAUCUCUAGCGUUGCUAAUCAGAUUAUACAUUGGGACUGAAUUCAGCAUGCAACAGAUGUAA
Molecule: long non-coding RNA, 866 nt
Filed under: Anser cygnoides (Swan goose)
Lineage: Eukaryota; Metazoa; Chordata; Aves; Anseriformes; Anatidae
Description: lncRNA (ENSACDG00005005659.1)
Source: RNAcentral